RNAcentral lists this ribosomal RNA (683 nucleotides) under uncultured Lactobacillus sp. RNAcentral describes it as "bacterial SSU rRNA". It matches the Rfam family "Bacterial small subunit ribosomal RNA", at positions 1 to 690 of the family's 1533-position model. The record is from RNAcentral. Lineage: Bacteria; Bacillati; Bacillota; Bacilli; Lactobacillales; Lactobacillaceae.
UCGGCUUAGAGUUUGAUCAUGGCUCAGGAUGAACGCUGGCGGUGUGCCUAAUACAUGCAAGUCGUACGCAGGUGCUUGCACCUGAGUGGCGGACGGGUGAGUAACACGUGGGUAACCUACCCAGAAGUGGGGGAUAACAUUUGGAAACAGAUGCUAAUACCGCAUAAAAAUCAAACCACAUGGUUUUGAUUAAAAGAUGUUUGUAUCACUUCUGGAUGGACCCGCGGCGUAUUAGCUAGUUGGUAAGGUAACGGCUUACCAAGGCAAUGAUACGUAGCCGAACUGAGAGGUUGAUCGGCCACAAUGGGACUGAGACACGGCCCAUACUCCUACGGGAGGCAGCAGUAGGGGAUCUUCCACAAUGGGCGCAAGCCUGAUGGAGCAACACCGCGUGAGUGAAGAAGGGUUUCGGCUCGUAAAACUCUGUUGUUAAAGAAGAACGUAUCUAAGGUAACUUAGGUAGUGACGGUAUUUAACCAGAAAGCCACGGCUAACUACGUGCCAGCAGCCGCGGUAAUACGUAGGUGGCAAGCGUUAUCCGGAUUUAUUGGGCGUAAAGCGAGCGCAGGCGGUUUUUUAAGUCUGAUGUGAAAGCCUUCGGCUUAACCGAAGAAGUGCAUCGGAAACUGGGAGACUUGAGUGCAGAAGAGGGCAGUGGACUCCAUGUGUAGCGGUGAAAUGCG